This is a long non-coding RNA of Sinocyclocheilus grahami, 379 nucleotides long. RefSeq lists it as uncharacterized. The transcript has 5 exons. The record is from RefSeq and is a predicted model, not a curated record. NCBI's taxonomy places the organism in Eukaryota, Metazoa, Chordata, Actinopteri, Cypriniformes, Cyprinidae.
UUUGCCGAGUUCUCUCAAUGAUGAUAACUUUCACAGACCUGUACUGAAAUCCUGUGAUUGCACUUUAUUUAUCUGAGAAGAGACUGACGGGAAUUUCUUUCCUUUUGCGUUAAGAGUGCUCUGGAAGCUUCAAAUGCAAACACGUGUCUUAACUAGAGGUUUUUCUUUUGCAGCCAUGGCGGCUACGACGAGCAUGGCCUCAUGGGAAGUUUCCAUGCAGGAUGCUGGGAUGAGUAGACGGAAAUCUUUUAACUUCAAGGGCUUAUUCACAUGAACUUGGGAGGGCAUGGUGACCAUAGAUGUAUUGAUCACCCUACUCUAUCUGUGGUGGUCAUGGUGUGGCCAUAAUGUUCAAGUGAGGUAGUGUUGGAACAAUGAC